CUCUUGACAUCCAGAGAACUUUCCAGAGAUGGAUUGGUGCCUUCGGGAACUCUGAGACAGGUGCUGCAUGGCUGUCGUCAGCUCGUGUUGUGAAAUGUUGGGUUAAGUCCCGCAACGAGCGCAACCCUUAUCCUUGUUUGCCAGCGAGUAAUGUCGGGAACUCCAGGGAGACUGCCGGUGAUAAACCGGAGGAAGGUGGGGACGACGUCAAGUCAUCAUGGCCCUUACGAGUAGGGCUACACACGUGCUACAAUGGCGCAUACAGAGGGCAGCAAGCUAGCGAUAGUGAGCGAAUCCCAAAAAGUGCGUCGUAGUCCGGAUUGGAGUCUGCAACUCGACUCCA
RNAcentral lists this ribosomal RNA (343 nucleotides) under Vibrio sp. AN3. Its description in RNAcentral is "bacterial SSU rRNA". It matches the Rfam family "Bacterial small subunit ribosomal RNA", at positions 978 to 1320 of the family's 1533-position model. The record is from RNAcentral. Lineage: Bacteria; Pseudomonadati; Pseudomonadota; Gammaproteobacteria; Vibrionales; Vibrionaceae.